Molecule: long non-coding RNA, 353 nt
Organism: Pristis pectinata (smalltooth sawfish)
Lineage: Eukaryota; Metazoa; Chordata; Chondrichthyes; Rhinopristiformes; Pristidae
Exons: 3
Source: RefSeq, a predicted model, not a curated record
CAGAAUGCAAGGUUGAACAUCUCAGAAUAAGUUCACAAUGCAAUGACGCAACCUCAGAAUUACGGAAAUCAAAUUCAGCUUUCCAACAAUGUGUGCAGGAUGUGGGCAUUGGUGGGAAGGCAUUUAUUGCCCAUCCCCAUUUACACCCGAGAAGGCGGCGGGAAACACUCUUCUUGAAGUACUGCAGUCCUUCCGGUGAAUGUACUUCCACAGUGCUGUCGGGAUCCCAAAGGUCUUCUGCAGCACUGCCUCACCUGGCUUGUACCUGGCUGCAGAGUUCAGUCACUUGGAAUGUGAUUCCCUGAAAUGAAGCUUUUAACAAGAUGUGGGCUGUGUUUCCAGCAAGCUAUUCU